CGCAUUUUCCAUUAGGUCAGGCCACAUGAAGCAUGAGGAGAUGGGGACCAGAAGGUCCUGUCCCAGCAACAACUAUCCACUCUGCAAGAAGAGGACCACCUUGGUGGACAGCUAGCCAGUGACCUCAAGGGAAGCAUCAGCCUGCAAACAAGGCCCACUACACAAGGGAUAGUUAGUUCCCAAGGAGAUAAAGUUCUGCUUAUUCCACCGCUCACUGAGGGAAUCCUUCGCCCUCUGCGUACCCCAAGGACCAUACAGAUGCACCCAAUGUGGCCACUGCCAGGCUAAGGUAGGCGGCUGCGUCACUGCUCUUAGAGGCCUUUUUUCUAAGAGCCACAUUCUGAUUCCCAAGUUGGAGCCAGCUGAAAACAGGACCUGGAGCCCUCUGCCUAUUAAUACAGUAAGCAGUGGGGUCUAGGGAACUGCAUGCUGAGAAUCAAGACUUCUGUACCCGGUAAGGCCUCUAAUUGGCUGUGUGACCACAAGCAAGAUCCUCACCUCUCUGUGCCUCAGUGUUCUUGGAGGCAAAAUAAAGCUAA
Fukomys damarensis (Damara mole-rat) is the source of this 539-nucleotide long non-coding RNA. RefSeq lists it as uncharacterized. The transcript is spliced from 4 exons. The record is from RefSeq and is a predicted model, not a curated record. NCBI's taxonomy places the organism in Eukaryota, Metazoa, Chordata, Mammalia, Rodentia, Bathyergidae.